RNAcentral lists this ribosomal RNA (433 nucleotides) under uncultured bacterium. RNAcentral describes it as "partial 16S ribosomal RNA". It matches the Rfam family "Bacterial small subunit ribosomal RNA", at positions 29 to 507 of the family's 1533-position model. The record is from RNAcentral.
AACGAACGCUGGCGGCAUGCCUAACACAUGCCAGUCGAACGAGACCUUCGGGUCUAGUGGCGCACGGGUGCGUAACGCGUGGGAACCUGCCCUUAGGUUCGGAAUAACUCCCCGAAAGGGGUGCUAAUACCGGAUAAUGUCUUCGGACCAAAGAUUUAUCGCCUUUGGAUGGGCCCGCGUUGGAUUAGCUAGUUGGUAGGGUAAAAGCCUACCAAGGCGACGAUCCAUAGCUGGUCUGAGAGGAUGAUCAGCCACACUGGGACUGAGACACGGCCCAGAUUCCUACGGGAGGCAGCAGUGGGGAAUAUUGGACAAUGGGCGAAAGCCUGAUCCAGCAAUGCCGCGUGAGUGAUGAAGGCCUUAGGGUUGUAAAGCUCUUUUACCCGGGAUGAUAAUGACAGUACCGGGAGAAUAAGCUCCGGCUAACUCCGUG